RNAcentral lists this ribosomal RNA (468 nucleotides) under uncultured bacterium. RNAcentral describes it as "partial 16S ribosomal RNA". It matches the Rfam family "Bacterial small subunit ribosomal RNA", at positions 28 to 507 of the family's 1533-position model. The record is from RNAcentral.
GACGAACGCUGGCGGCGUGCUUAACACAUGCAAGUCGAACGGAAAGGCCCUGCUUUUGUGGGGUGCUCGAGUGGCGAACGGGUGAGUAACACGUGAGUAACCUGCCCUUGACUUUGGGAUAACUUCAGGAAACUGGGGCUAAUACCGGAUAGGAGCUCCUGCUGCAUGGUGGGGGUUGGAAAGUUUCGGCGGUUGGGGAUGGACUCGCGGCUUAUCAGCUUGUUGGUGGGGUAGUGGCUUACCAAGGCUUUGACGGGUAGCCGGCCUGAGAGGGUGACCGGCCACAGUGGGACUGAGAUGCGGCCCAGACUCCGACGGGAGGCAGCAGUGGGGAAUAUUGCACAAUGGGCGGAAGCCUGAUGCAACAACGCCGCGUGCGGGAUGACGGCCUUCGGGUUGUAAACCGCUUUCGCCUGUGACGAAGCGUGAGUGACGGUAAUGGGUAAAGAAGCACCGGCUAACUACGUG